This is a non-coding RNA of Fusarium venenatum, 82 nucleotides long. Lineage: Eukaryota; Fungi; Ascomycota; Sordariomycetes; Hypocreales; Nectriaceae. The record is from RefSeq and is a predicted model, not a curated record.
UCUCUAUGAUGAUCCAAAAUGAAAACGACAAGCAUAUGUCCGAGCUCACGCUACGACGAUAACUCAUUUAUCGACUGAUCGA